UUUCGAACUGACAAACUAGAGUUUUGUAGAGGGUGGUAGAAUUUCAGGUGUAGCGGUGAAAUGCGUAGAGAUCUGAAGGAAUACCAGUGGCGAAGGCGGCCACCUGGACAAUAACUGACGCUCAUGUACGAAAGCGUGGGGAGCAAACGGGAUUAGAUACCCCGGUAGUCCACGCCGUAAACGAUGUCAACUAGCCGACUGGUGCCUUGAGCACUGGGUGGCGCAGCUAACGCAUUAAGUUGACCGCCUGGGGAGUACGGCCGCAAGGUUAAAACUCAAAUGAAUUGACGGGGGCCCGCACAAGCGGUGGAGCAUGUGGUUUAAUUCGAUGCAACGCGAAGAACCUUACCUACUCUUGACAUCCAGAGAAUUUAGCAGAGAUGCUUUAGUGCCUUCGGGAGCUCUGAGACAGGUGCUGCAUGGCUGUCGUCAGCUCGUGUUGUGAAAUGUUGGGUUAAGUCCCGCAACGAGCGCAACCCCUAUCCUUAGUUGCCAGCGAGUAAUGUCGGGAACUCUAGGGAGACUGCCGGUGAUAAACCGGAGGAAGGUGGGGACGACGUCAAGUCAUCAUGGCCCUUACGAGUAGGGCUACACACGUGCUACAAUGGCGCAUACAAAGGGUUGCGAAGCCGCGAGGUGGAGCCAAUCUCAAAAAGUGCGUCGUAGUCCGGAUUGGAGUCUGCAACUCGACUCCAUGAAGUCGGAAUCGCUAGUAAUCGUAGAUCAGAAUGCUACGGUGAAUACGUUCCCGGGCCUUGUACAC
RNAcentral lists this ribosomal RNA (763 nucleotides) under uncultured bacterium. Its description in RNAcentral is "bacterial SSU rRNA". It matches the Rfam family "Bacterial small subunit ribosomal RNA", at positions 626 to 1388 of the family's 1533-position model. The record is from RNAcentral.